UUAAGACGAAUCAUGGAACAAAAGGAACAUUACAUUUAAUUAUUUACGAUAACGAUAACAUUAUCACAUCUUAAGAACACACAGCCGAGUCCUUGAUCCCGGAAUCGAGCCAUAAUGAAGUUGAAACUGCCAUUGGGAAAUUACAAAUCUCCAGGUAUCGACUCAUUUCCAAUGGAACUAAUCCAUACAGGUGGUAGGACACUGCACUCAGAGACACAUCAGCUUAUAGUCUCGAUUUGGAACCAGAAAAUAAUACCACAACAUCGGAAGUAAUCAGCUGUUGUCCCUAUGUACAAAAUCGGUGACAACAUUGAAUGCAGGAAAUUACGAGAACAUGUCAUCAGCAAGGGCUCGAAUCGAAUGGUGUGCACCAGGUACUUACUCUCCUCUGCUGCUGAUGUCAAUUUGCUGGUGCAUGGUGCGGGUACCAUAACCAAGAAUGCAGAUACUUUCCUACAGUGGAACGCAUUUUGAAUGGCUUUUGUCACCGACUGGUACCAACUCUACAAUCAUAAUUCAUGCCGUCGCCACCUUGACAGUUGGCGUUAUCGCACGUACUACAGAAAAUGGUGGAAUCUUUAUUAAUGUACUAUUUAUAUACAAAGGCCUUUGUGUGUGUGUGUGUUUGUUACGAAAGGGGCAGACGAAACUCAGACUAGCGAACAGUUCUCUAGUAACCUAACAGAGCAGAAUCUUUUGAGACCGAGCGUCGGCCUUAAAAGAUUAGCCAACCACAUACAAAACUGUAAUCAAAAUUAAUCUCUCGAGGUUAUCUCCACACGUAGGCUAAACUGAAUGGGAUCAUCAGUGUGAAUUUUGUCACAGUCAAUCAACUAGUAACCAUGUAUGGAGCAUUCGUCAGAUGUGGGAGAUGAAAAAUUGGAGUACAGUGGAAGAAUUCACCAGCUAUUUAGAGACAUCAAGAAACCUUAUGAUUCAGUUAGCAGGGCAGUAAGAUAGUGUAAAGAACUGUCACUUAAGUCGGUGUUUGUAUCAAUGAAUCUAAUUUUAAAAUGUUAGAGAAAAAUUACACAAAGAGUCCAUAAUAAAAUCCCGUAUCUUUCUUAUACGGACGUCAGAUUCAUGUGAAACCAAGGUCUGACAUCUUCUGUUCCGGGCCUCUGUUUAUAAAAAGAAUACGGCGCUGAUGCUGGUGUGACGUCAGACUGGUUGUGUUGCUGCAGUACGAUUCAACGACUCUAUUACUUGUCUUAGUACAAACGAGCUUCCGGCAGGAGCUGCUGGCAGUCGGCCAACAUCGGUUAUAGUCUUCAUUAUGUUGGCAUGGAGAGUGAACUGAAGCGACAGUUCCUUCGAAAGCAAACACUGCCCUCAUGUGGGGAAAAAUAAAAGUUUUGCGAACACUGCUAGCGGGUUACCACAGCAAAAAUAGCUUUUACAAGUUCCUACCGGCUUUGCCGAAUUGUGUAAAUGUGUACGGAGGUCCAUGAUAAGCGACCAGCCCUUGCUUCAGAGUACAGAGAAUUGAUGAUGUUUAUAAUUUGAUACUACGUGAAGUGCAGUGAGGACUAUCAUGAAAUGUGAAUUGAGUCACAGAUAAUUUAAAAAAACCCUUCGAAACAGUCAUCACACAGCCUUCCCGAUUCGUACAUAAACCAGUUCAGUAUAACCCGUGUCUAAGAGCUCCCUUCUGAACCCUAAAGCUGACUCGCGUAUUUACGUAUUCUGUAAGCAUACACGAUACUUGAAUUCACGCCUGCAUGAAGUCAUAAGACAUAAAAUAUGUCCAUAAAUGAUCUUCUGGUGAUUUCAAACGCAACGAGGAACGAAACGAUCUAUUGUGUCUGCGCAUGUAUUAUCAUUAGUAACCUCGAAAACAACAGAAAAUAAAGAUAAACUUGUCACAGACGACUUCAAAGUCCAAGGAUAACAAAAAGUAUUCCUUUAUCCCAUGUAUUCCGCAGCGGUAUCCUACUUGUCGCUCUCAGCGGUCCAUAACAUCUCGUACACUAUAAAAAUGAACAAAUUCCGUCAUUUCUCCACGUUAUCACUCAUUUAUUGAACGUUCACAGAAAGAAAUUUUUGUAACAAAAAUUAUUACCUUAGAGUAACCGUCUCAAAAAAAAAUGAGGCAAGCAAGCUGCUUUAUACGUUGCAAUAAACUGAACAGUUAAAUAGAACUUCACACUUUUUAAGUCGUUAAUAAAGUCAGUUCAAGUCUAGUAAAAAAUUAAAAACUGCUUCUACUUUAAUUAAACUUCAAACAGAGCUUUCAGCGGACUUGAAACGUACUACACAUCAAUAGGUUAGGUUAAAGUCCAUUGAAGUAUUUGUGAAGUGACUUGCAUUCAAGCAAUUUCAUUAGCGUGAACAAGACUUAAAUGUCCAAUUUGAACACCAGGAAGACGAUGGGAUGAUGUAAAAGGGCGCGCUGUGAGUGGGUGAGUUACACGCAAUGGAUGGCGACCGUAUAAUGGAUGCUAAUCUGACUUCCCGGUACAACACAGGAGCAACAAUGGAGCACAGGCAGCGAACAAUAUGCAAAUUAAACGUGGACUUGCAACACUCUUGCAUUGAAUAUCCGUAUCAUUUACCUUGGUCACGAGAUAUAACCAUUAGAACAGUUGAUGAAUUGUAAUUUUAUAACGAGGUGGGAUUUCAAUUGCGAUUUAAUGAACUGGAUGCCGCUUACACGCUCAGAAAUACGAAAGAUGUUCCCGCCGCAUUAAACGGUAGAUUUUCGACGUGUACAACGGAGGUAUAGUCGGCGCAGUUGUUUUUGGCCGGUGGAGAAACUA
Long non-coding RNA from Zootermopsis nevadensis, 2759 nucleotides. RefSeq lists it as uncharacterized. The record is from RefSeq and is a predicted model, not a curated record. Lineage: Eukaryota; Metazoa; Arthropoda; Insecta; Blattodea; Termopsidae.